Molecule: ribosomal RNA, 512 nt
Filed under: uncultured bacterium
Lineage: Bacteria
Description: partial 16S ribosomal RNA
Rfam family: Bacterial small subunit ribosomal RNA
Source: RNAcentral
GACGAACGCUGGCGGCGUGCCUAAUACAUGCAAGUCGAGCGGACAGAUGGGAACUUGCUCCCGGAAGUCAGCGGCGGACGGGUGAGUAACACGUGGGCAACCUGCCUGUAAGACUGGGAUAACCUCGGGAAACCGGAGCUAAUACCGGAUACGUUCUUUUCUCGCAUGAGAGAAGAUGGAAAGAUGGUUUCGGCUAUCACUUACAGAUGGGCCCGCGGCGCAUUAGCUAGUUGGUGAGGUAAUGGCGCACCAAGGCGACGAUGCGUAGCCGACCUGAGAGGGGGAUCGGCCACACUGGGACUGAGACACGGCCCAGACUCCUACGGGAGGCAGCAGUAGGGAAUCUUCCGCAAUGGACGAAAGUCUGACGGAGCAACGCCGCGUGAACGAUGAAGGCCUUCGGGUCGUAAAGUUCUGUUGUUAGGGAAGAACAAGUACCAGAGUAACUGCUGGUACCUUGACGGUACCUAACCAAAAAGCCACGGCUAACUACGUGCCAGCCGCCGCCGUAA